CCUACGGGAGGCAGCAGUAGGGAAUAUUGCUCAAUGGGGGAAACCCUGAAGCAGCAACGCCGCGUGGAGGAUGAAGGUUUUCGGAUUGUAAACUCCUUUUGUUAGAGAAGAUAAUGACGGUAUCUAACGAAUAAGCACCGGCUAACUCCGUGCCAGCAGCCGCGGUAAUACGGAGGGUGCAAGCGUUACUCGGAAUCACUGGGCGUAAAGAGCGCGUAGGCGGGAUAGCAAGUCAGAUGGGAAAUCCUAGGGCUUAACCAUAGAACUGCAUUUGAAACUGGUAUUCUAGAGUAUGGGAGAGGUAGGUGGAAUUCUUGGUGUAGGGGUAAAAUCCGUAGAGAUCAAGAGGAAUACUCAUUGCGAAGGCGACCUGCUAGAACAUAACUGACGCUGAUGCGCGAAAGCGUGGGGAGCAAACAGGAUUAGAUACCCCGGUAGUC
This 440-nucleotide ribosomal RNA is filed under the name uncultured bacterium. RNAcentral's name for it is "partial 16S ribosomal RNA". It matches the Rfam family "Bacterial small subunit ribosomal RNA", at positions 338 to 795 of the family's 1533-position model. The record is from RNAcentral.